This 253-nucleotide ribosomal RNA is filed under the name uncultured bacterium. Its description in RNAcentral is "partial 16S ribosomal RNA". It matches the Rfam family "Bacterial small subunit ribosomal RNA", at positions 524 to 776 of the family's 1533-position model. The record is from RNAcentral.
UACGGGGGGAGCAAGCGUUGUUCGGAUUUACUGGGCGUAAAGGGCGCGUAGGCGGCGCAACAAGUCACUUGUGAAAUCUCCGGGCUUAACCCGGAGCGGCCAAGUGAUACUGUCGUGCUAGAGUGCGGAAGGGGCUACUGGAAUUCUCGGUGUAGCGGUGAAAUGCGCAGAUAUCAGGAGGAACACCGAUGGCGAAGGCAGGUCUCUGGGCCACUACUGACGCUGAGAAGCGAAAGCGUGGGGAGCGAACAGG